RNAcentral lists this ribosomal RNA (335 nucleotides) under uncultured Pseudomonadota bacterium. RNAcentral describes it as "bacterial SSU rRNA". It matches the Rfam family "Bacterial small subunit ribosomal RNA", at positions 29 to 351 of the family's 1533-position model. The record is from RNAcentral. Lineage: Bacteria; Pseudomonadati; Pseudomonadota.
AGCGAACGUUAGCGGCGGGCUUAACACAUGCAAGUCGAGCGAGAAAGUGGCUUCGGCCACGAGUAAAGCGGCGGACGGGUGAGUAACACGUAGGUAAUCUUCCCUUGAGCGGGGGACAACGAGCCGAAAGGCUCGCUAAUACCGCAUACGUUCCCAGCGGCUCUGGCCGUUGGGAGGAAAGCUAGGCAGCAAUGUCCGGCACUCGAGGAGGAGCCUGCGUCGCAUCAGCUAGUUGGUGGGGUAACGGCCUACCAAGGCGAAGACGCGUAGCUGGUCUGAGAGGAUGAUCAGCCACACUGGGACUGAGACACGGCCCAGACUCCUACGGGAGGCAG